AUGCUCCCCUUCUACCUCUCCCGCUACGGCAACCCGCACUCCCGCACCCACCUCUACGGCUGGGAGUCGGACGCCGCCGUCGAGGAGGCCCGCGCGCGCGUCGCCAGGCUCAUCGGCGCCGACCCCAGGGAGAUCUUCUUCACCUCGGGCGCCACCGAGUGCAACAACAUCGCCGUCAAGGGCGUCAUGCACUUCUACCGCGACCGCCGCCGCCACGUCAUCACCACCCAGACCGAGCACAAGUGCGUCCUCGACUCCUGCAGGUACCUCCAGCAGGAGGGGUUCGAGGUCACCUACCUCCCCGUUCGCCCCGACGGCCUCAUUGACGUCGCGCAGCUCGCCGAUGCCAUCCGCCCCGACACCGGGCUCGUCUCCGUCAUGGCCGUCAACAACGAGAUCGGCGUUGUCCAGCCGCUCGAGGAGAUUGGCCGCAUCUGCCGCGAGAAGGGCGUGCCCUUCCACACAGACGCGGCGCAGGCUCUCGGGAAGAUCCCAAUUGAUGUCAACCAGAUGGGGAUUGGACUCAUGUCGCUGUCUGCUCACAAGAUUUAUGGGCCCAAGGGUGUCGGUGCGCUCUACCUGCGCCGCCGCCCUCGCAUUCGCGUGGAGCCACAGAUGAGUGGGGGUGGCCAGGAACGUGGCAUCCGCAGUGGCACGGUGCCCACGCCAAUUGUUGUUGGAUUUGGUGCUGCCUGCGAAAUUGCAGCCAAAGAGAUGGACUACGACGAGAGGCGAGUUAGUGCUCUGCAGCAGCGUCUGCUUGAUGGCAUCCGUUCCAAGGUUGAUGAUGUUGUCAUCAAUGGUAGCAUGGAGCACCGCGCAUGCACCAGUGCUAGUUUGGAGCCUUCCUAUGUGCUCCGGGCGCUUGGUGUGGAUGAGGACAUGGCACACACCUCCAUUCGAUUUGGCAUUGGCCGCUUCACCACCGAGGAAGAGGUCGACAGAGCAACUGAGCUCACUGUCCAUCAGGUGCUUAAGCUCCGGGAGAUGAGUCCACUCUAUGAGAUGGCUAAGGCAGGCAUCGACAUCAAGAGCAUCCAGUGGUCGCAGCACUGA
RNAcentral lists this ribosomal RNA (1056 nucleotides) under Triticum aestivum (bread wheat). Its description in RNAcentral is "partial small subunit ribosomal RNA". The record is from RNAcentral. Lineage: Eukaryota; Viridiplantae; Streptophyta; Magnoliopsida; Poales; Poaceae.